ACGCUGGCGGCAUGCUUUACACAUGCAAGUCGGACGGCAGCACAGAGAAGCUUGCUUCUUGGGUGGCGAGUGGCGAACGGGUGAGUAACAUAUCGGAACGUACCGAGUAAUGGGGGAUAACUAAUCGAAAGAUUAGCUAAUACCGCAUAUUCUCUGAGGAGGAAAGCAGGGGACCUUCGGGCCUUGCGUUAUUCGAGCGGCCGAUAUCUGAUUAGCUAGUUGGUGGGGUAAAGGCCUACCAAGGCGACGAUCAGUAGCGGGUCUGAGAGGAUGAUCCGCCACACUGGGACUGAGACACGGCCCAGACUCCUACGGGAGGCAGCAGUGGGGAAUUUUGGACAAUGGGCGCAAGCCUGAUCCAGCCAUGCCGCGUGUCUGAAGAAGGCCUUCGGGUUGUAAAGGACUUUUGUCAGGGAAGAAAAGGCUGUUGCUAAUACCGACAGUUGAUGACGGUACCUGAAGAAUAAGCACCGGCUAACUACGUGCCAGCAGCCGCGGUAAUACGUAGGGUGCGAGCGUUAAUCGGAAUUACUGGGCGUAAAGCGAGCGCAGACGGUUACUUAAGCAGGAUGUGAAAUCCCCGGGCCCAACCUGGGAACUGCGUUCUGAACUGGGUGACUAGAGUGUGUCAGAGGGAGGUAGAAUUCCACGUGUAGCAGUGAAAUGCGUAGAGAUGUGGAGGAAUACCGAUGGCGAAGGCAGCCUCCUGGGAUAACACUGACGUUCAUGCUCGAAAGCGUGGGUAGCAAACAGGAUUAGAUACCCUGGUAGUCCACGCCCUAAACGAUGUCAAUUAGCUGUUGGGCAACUUGAUUGCUUAGUAGCGUAGCUAACGCGUGAAAUUGACCGCCUGGGGAGUACGGUCGCAAGAUUAAAACUCAAAGGAAUUGACGGGGACCCGCACAAGC
RNAcentral lists this ribosomal RNA (908 nucleotides) under uncultured bacterium. RNAcentral's name for it is "bacterial SSU rRNA". It matches the Rfam family "Bacterial small subunit ribosomal RNA", at positions 33 to 930 of the family's 1533-position model. The record is from RNAcentral.